Molecule: long non-coding RNA, 206 nt
Filed under: Elaeis guineensis (African oil palm)
Lineage: Eukaryota; Viridiplantae; Streptophyta; Magnoliopsida; Arecales; Arecaceae
Description: long non-coding RNA (EGUI_LNC018047)
Source: RNAcentral
GGUUUGGGUAGAUUGGCUAGUUCAAGUCAGAUUUUUCCACCUUUAAUAUAAAUAAUCACACAAAUGAAGGCAUUGUUUAUCUUUUUAUCCACAAAUAAUUAAUUACUGCUCUAUCAGUAUUAUGGCACAACUUAUCUUGACAUGGAGAUAAACAUGGUUCAUCCAAACAAAAAGGCAAAAGAAUCCCAUCUUAUCCAGCUUAUUCU